Ailuropoda melanoleuca (giant panda) is the source of this 4689-nucleotide long non-coding RNA. RefSeq lists it as uncharacterized. The record is from RefSeq and is a predicted model, not a curated record. The transcript has 3 exons. Lineage: Eukaryota; Metazoa; Chordata; Mammalia; Carnivora; Ursidae.
GCUUUUAAGAAAAUUAUAAGGAGAAAAUACAUUUACAAUACUGUCCUGCAUUGAUAAUAUAAGCUUAUUUUGUCUGUUUGCAAGAUGAACUCGGUGCCAACAUCAAAAUCAUCUUGUAUGAUACAAAACACUGCAGAUCUGAAUUUAUUACUAACACUAGACAUCAAAAAAGAAAAGAUAAUGUGAAAAAGAAACUAUGAAUUUCUUGUAAUUAUUGUAAUGAUUUUGUGUAAUGAUUCAUGCACUGAUAAUGAAGAGGAAGCAAUAUGAUUGCUUUAUGGUAGCCUCGUGUAAUUUGAUACAAUUACUUCACUGUAGCCUAGCCUAUCCACUAAUGAAUAGUUAUAAAAAUGUUACAGCAUAGUCAUAGCCAUAAUACUGUACUGGAAACAUUGUUACAUUAAAAAACCCCACUUACCUGUGAUGAUAGGCUGAAACACAAUUUCUCUAAUUAUGAGAGAGAAGCAAACUGUACUGUGAUGUAAUUCUUUGGAAGCAAAGUUAUAAAAUGGAAAACUAACACAUUAGUAAUUUUAUAUUAAAUAUCAGUCACCUGAUGCCUAUGUAAGGAUAAGCUAUCCAUUUCCAUGCAAGUCUUACACAUGACGUUCUUCAUGAUGAAUAAGUAGGCAGUGAUGACUACGGAUGACACAAAAACAUCUACAGUUUUUGCUGUUCAGUUAUUAGAUUUUCAUGCAAAGGCACUCACAUGCAACAGAUAAGUUUAUUAACUAUAUGACGCGAUUCAUUAAGUGGGAGUAGAUUAUCAUAAAGGUUUUCAUCAUUUUUAAAUUGAAUAGGCUGAGGAGGAAGAGGAAUGGUUGGUCUUGCUGUCUUGGGUAGCAGAGGCAGAACAGGUGGAGGAAGUGGAAGGAAAUACGGGAACACUUCAUGGAAAAACAAUAAUUUGUGUUUUUUUUUGCUUUUUUAUUUCUCCAGAAGUGUUUCUCUCAGUACCAAUUCUUCUUCCACCAUUUGCUUUAGUUUCAGUGCCCAGAUCGUAGAUGGGUCUCAUCAUGAAUGAGGUCAAAAGCAAUCCUGAUUGAUGGUCUAAUACCAAUUUGUCUUCUGGCACUGCUGUUCUACGCCUUGUUCCUCAUCGCCUGGCACUGGUUCAGAAGUGCACGUCGCCAUCAUUUCCUCUUCUGUUAAUUCCUCUGUCUUUGUGGAAUCCUUUCAAUUGUAAAAGUGAUCCAUAUAUUUAGCCCUAACAUAAGUACCAGUGAUGUUUUAUGAAUCAUCUUAUUUGAAAACAAGAAAGCAAACAAGAGAGACUGCAUACUAAAUCACACGAAAGGUGAGCCCUUCUGUUCAUGCUGUUCCUUCUGGAAUGCUUUCCCUCUAGAUUGCUCUCCUUACACCUCUUCUUUUGCAUCCCUGAAUCCUACUCUUCUGGUCUUAUUUUAGAUUUAGAUAUCUCUUCCUCCAGGAAGCUUUCUCUGAACGCUCAACCCUGGAGCACGUGACCCCCCACCCCCACCGCCCCAGCACCCUUUUGUGGCAGGUAUCACACAGUAUUGUAAUAGCCUAAUACUUACUGGUAUUCACUCUAGACAGUCCCUUACUUAAGGACUGGGACUACAGUUUUAACGUUUUAUCCCCAGCUAAGGUCUGCCACGUAAUAGUUGUGGAGUAAAAACAGUGUGCAUUGAAUGAAUGAUACUCAGAAUGGAGCCUUGUUCAUCCUACAAUUGCUACAGUAUCUUCUCUGUUGAGAUCUUUUAGGUUCUCAGUGUGUAUCAUUAGCAUAAUCAAAAAGAAGGGAAAUCAAAAACAAGGUGAUUAGUGACUGCAUGUGAAUUUUUUUUGAGACCCAGGCUUCCUCAUGCUUAGAUUAUUUCUCCAUUCCCUACAUUAUAAUGUCUGCUCCAAAUCACUCCACCCUCACCCAGUGAACAGCAGGUGUAAAGAAGUGUCAACAGUGACUCUAAUUGUAAACACAGAGUUUUGGCCCAUCACCCUUCUUCUUCAUGGAUGAUUGUGCUGGUUACUCUGUUUUAUCUUGUUUCUCUUCCUCUCAUCUUACAAAAGAUUAUAUUAAUUUGAUUUUUAAACUGGGCCGUGUCUCUUUCUGUGUGCACUACUACUCAUGUUCUGCUUUACAACGUGUUCUGGAGGUAUAGAGAUGCAACAUCAUUUAUUUGGCAAAUAUUGAUUGGAUGCUGUGGUGUGCAUGGCCCUAUUUAAAGAACUAGAGAUGAAUAGUACCAUUCCAAGGAUAGCUCUGGGGUGCAUCUCUGUGGAGGGUGUCUUCUGUGCUCUGGAGAGAUGGAGGAGAACAGAGAAACCAGGGGUUGGGGAGUGGGAAGUAAAGGAAAAGGAGUCUUGGGCAGGAAAGGAGUCUGUACCAAAAUGGCAUGCGGGGCCCCUUAGGAAAUGUUGAAUAUCACGUCCUGACAAAGGUCUCAGGUGCACCCCUGGUGGCUCUGCUCCUGCAACUUUGUCUCUGCUAGUCCUCUUCUUUGUCACAGCCACACAAGUGCCAGGAGGAGGCACAGAUUGUGGAUUAAGGAGUGACCCUUAAGAAUAUUGGGGGUGGAAUUCACAGGUGUUAUAGGUACCUGAAAACUUUGGACCUUCUGAGAGGCCGCAUGGGCUCUGCCGGUGUUCAGUGAUGGAGCUGCAGCAUUCGUACAGGUGGUGAGAAGCCUGCAGGGGGAAUGUGACUCCCAGCUAUUUGGUGGUCAUCUUCACACUGGUACCCCUUCUCUACCAAGUGCCGCAAUCAACAUCACUGAGGCUUCGAGACCAGGAGCAAAUGGCAAGAAUAACUGCUCCACAACAUCAGUCUUGCCUCUCCGAAGUCUGGUGAGAGGUACAGAAAACCUUAGGACUAGCUCCGUGUGUUCAGCCCUAUUGCAAUGGAGCCCUCGCUCUGAGUUUUAUACACUUAGGCUGUAAAACAAUGAAGAAAACCCCUAUCGUUAAAGACGAUGCUGCCAGUGACCAGCCUUAGAUGAGGACUGAAAAAGUAAACCUUGACAAAAAGGGGCUGUGCCAUUUUGGAUUCCUAACGGGAACGUUUGAGAAUGUCCAUUUCUCCAGAGCCUCAUCAAUAUUGUAUGUUUUCACUCUGGGAUUUUUGCUAACUUGAUACACAAGAAAUGGUCCCUCAGUGUUGUUCAAAUAUGCAUUUCUUUUUCUGUGUUUAAGGCCCAUUUUCAUAUUUUCUACUAAAUUGCCUACUCACAACUUGGGCUAAUUUUUCUCUCUGGGCCUUUUUCUUUUCCAUUUUUAAGAGCUCUCUAUAUAAUAGGCAUAUUACUUUAUUGCUUAGGAUGCAAAUUGCAAGUGUUUUUUCUCUGUAAUUUAUCUUUUUACUUUGUUAUGGUUUUGGGGGGGACAUGUGUUUUAUUUUUCACAUUGUCUGACUUAUAAAUCUGGAUUUUAAGUUAUCAGUCUGGACACAGAGAAAAGAGAAUCCUUUAUUCAGUGUAUUACAAAUGUCUUUUUCACAGUUUUUAGUUUGUUUUUUCACUCUCUUAAAGAUAUCUUUGGAUAAGCAGUUCCUGAUUUUAAUGUGCUAAAACUUACCUGUAUUUUUCCUUACAAUUAGCGCCUUUAGAAUUCAGUCUAAGAAAAUAUAUUCUACCUUGAAGUCGCUAAGAUAUUUUCUUGUAUUAUCUUCAACAGUCCAAGAGCUGUUUAUUGUGCCAAUCAAACUGUACUCUGAGAACCUGUGCCAGUUCUAAACUGUUUUAGUGGUUCACGAUAAGUAUAGAAAUUGAGAGUAAGCAUUCAGAAACUCUUGUGGGAAUGGGAUGUUAUCAUGGCAUGCAAGUGUGUGACUAGCAGACUCAUCCUUUGAGGGUUCUAGUGUUUUCAAACUCAUGUGAUGAGUCAGGUUUCAUAAGCUGUGUACUAGUCAUGCACAGUAGGGCCAAGCACGGAUCCUUGAAAGUUUAGAUGUUUUUUUUAAAAAGUGGCUCUUCACUACAGAUGGUGUGAGAUGUACUCUUUGAGAAGCUUUAUUGCUUUGCUUUUCAUACUUAAUUUAAGUCUGUGAUUUCCCAGGACUGGUGUGUGUGUGUGUGUGUGUGUGUGUGUGUGUGUGUGUGGUGUAAUAUAGGGUUCCAAUUUCACUUUUCUCCCCAUGGAUAUCCUGUUUUCCCAGAAUUAUUUAUUGAAAAGACUUUCCUUCCUUCACCGCUCUGCAGUGAUUUAUUUGUCAUGAACCAAGAGUUUUGUUCUCUAUAUUCUAUUUCAUUGGUCUUGUGUUUCCCUUUGCAUCAGUGCCACACUGUCAUAAAUUCUAUAUAUAGCUUUAAAAUAAGUCUCAAGAUCUGGAAAAGUAAGUUCUGAGCCUUCUAUUUUAAAAGUGUUUCGAUUAUUUUUGGCCUUUUUAAUUUCCUUAGAAAUUUUAGAAUUAUAUUGUCAAAUUACAUCCUUCCCCCCGUCACACAUAAAACCUGCUUGGAUUUUGUGUGGAAUUGUGUUGAAUCUAAAUAGGUCUGUUUAGUCUUUCAAUAUGUGGUUAGAUUGUGUGCGUGUGUGUUUUUGCCCAUCGCUGUAUUUAUUCCUGACCAUUGGGUUACCCGAUGUUUUUGAUAGUUCACUCAGUGCAUAUUUCUAAACAUAUUGUAUGUUUUAUAAUACUAAAGAUUUUUAAAGAUACAUUUAUAAUAGGUCAAAAAGUACCAAGUUUCUGGGAUUAAAUGUAAUAAAACAUGUUGACAUUCUCUAUGCAGA